GGGGAUGAACGGUUUCGACAGGUUGUACGUUUAAAAUAGGCAAGCCGAGAAUGAUAAUAGCUCGUAAACUUUUUAUCAAAUGUUAUAAGUGCAAACUUCAUAACUAAAGCAAAGACCGCGAUUGCGCAAGCUUUUGCUCCGUCUUUUGCUCUUGCUCGAGCCUAAAUCCGCCUUCGGCGGAUUGCUUGAGCCAUCGGACUAUCGAUUCCUAAUAGAUAGUAUCCGGUGUCAAAUAUUAGGAUAGAAAAUAUAAUUUUGUUUAAGUUAUAUUUUUGAAACUAAUUUAAACAUAGAUUAAAAAGAUUUUGCCUGUUCACUACUUUUUAUUCGAUCCCCGCCUUGGCGGGGAACAAAACAGACUACGCUUGUAGAUUAUUUUAGACAAACAAUUUUGGACGCGAGUUCGACUCUCGCCAUCUCCACCA
This 425-nucleotide transfer-messenger RNA is filed under the name Candidatus Moranbacteria bacterium CG_4_9_14_3_um_filter_42_9. It matches the Rfam family "transfer-messenger RNA". Rfam says of the family: Bacterial tmRNA, also known as 10Sa RNA or SsrA, is named for its dual tRNA and mRNA-like properties. The record is from RNAcentral. Lineage: Bacteria; Candidatus Moraniibacteriota. RNAcentral also lists the same sequence under 1 other name.